UACGAAGGGGGCUAGCGUUGCUCGGAAUUACUGGGCGUAAAGGGCUCGUAGGCGGCCAACUAAGUCAUACGUGAAAUCCCUCGGCUUAACCGGGGAACUGCGUCUGAUACUGGAUGGCUUGAGUUCGGGAGAGGGAUGCGGAAUUCCAGGUGUAGCGGUGAAAUGCGCAGAUAUCAGGAAGAACACCAAUGGCGAAGGCAGCUCUCUGGGACGGUACUGACGCUGAGACGCGAAAGCGUGGGGAGCGAACAGG
Molecule: ribosomal RNA, 253 nt
Filed under: uncultured bacterium
Lineage: Bacteria
Description: partial 16S ribosomal RNA
Rfam family: Bacterial small subunit ribosomal RNA
Source: RNAcentral